UACGAAGGGUGCGAGCGUUAAUCGGAAUUACUGGGCGUAAAGCGUGCGCAGGCGGUUUUGUAAGUCUGACGUGAAAGCCCCGGGCUUAACCUGGGAAUUGCGUUGGAGACUGCAAGGCUUGAAUCUGGCAGAGGGGGGUAGAAUUCCACGUGUAGCAGGUGAAAUGCGUAGAGAUGUGGAGGAACACCGAUGGCGAAGGGCAGCCCCCUGGGUCAAGAUUGACGCUCAUGCACGAAAGCGUGGGGAGCAAACAGGA
RNAcentral lists this ribosomal RNA (256 nucleotides) under uncultured bacterium. Its description in RNAcentral is "partial 16S ribosomal RNA". It matches the Rfam family "Bacterial small subunit ribosomal RNA", at positions 524 to 777 of the family's 1533-position model. The record is from RNAcentral.